Molecule: long non-coding RNA, 1363 nt
Organism: Leopardus geoffroyi (Geoffroy's cat)
Lineage: Eukaryota; Metazoa; Chordata; Mammalia; Carnivora; Felidae
Exons: 3
Source: RefSeq, a predicted model, not a curated record
CCGGCCGUGGGAGCUGCCAGCAACUCGCCCUCCCGCUGCCCACAGGCCCUGCCAGGCUGGGCGCAAGAAAGCGUGUUUACUAACACCAUCCACACGGCUCCCUGGGCACCGCGGCUCUGCCCAGAAGAUGUCAGGCCGAGGGCACCGGGAGGCUUCUCUACCCUGCUAGGAAUCUUCUCUGUGUUCUUCUGAUGGUCCACGGCCCUCCAGCUAAACACAUUUCCCCCAGUGGGUGUCACACUGCCUGAUCUCUCGCCAUGAUUUCCUUAGAUUCCUGGUGAAUCAACUCUACAGGGUUUGGUCAACUCGCUUCUGUUGCUGCCUUCACUCAGGUUUCGUGCCUCAAAUCUGAUCUGGGCUGUGGACCUCGAGGUUGCCUGUGUCCCGAGGAAAGGGAAUCUCCGGCCUCAGCAACUGGAUGGGGAGAAUAACUUUGGGAGAUUUCCAGGUUCCUGCGUGGUCACCUGCGGUCCCCUUGAGGCCAGCCCUGCCGUGCACGGACCUGUAGAGCAUAAGUCUCUAGGGUGAUGCAGAGGGCUCCCCUAUGGGCAGAACUGAUAAGAGUGUAGGAGAUAGGAAAGGGGUCCAGUCCGUGAGGAACCAGCUACUUUGGCCAGGGAAGUAGUGCUUGUGUGUUAACCAUCUGCCCCGUGUCCACUGUCCUCUCUAUGCUGGGCGGCACGUCGUCCCGUCCAAGCCUUUCAUUCACUCCUCACAGAGACUCUCUGCAGCAGAAGUGACCGACCUGGGUUUGGAGACAGGAAGGUGAGACCCCGGUUUCUGAGACCUGCCCAGGGCGACCAGCCAUGGACCAGAAAACUCAGCUCUAUUCGACCGAGAAACUCACCUCUCUUUCCCGAUUCAUCCUCCUUCCCCCCCCCCCCAGAUUUCGGGGUGUCUCUUCUAAACUGCGACCUUCAGAACCAGUUGCCAGUGGCGAAGUCAACAAAGGUGUCCUUAAUGACUCCACUCCACAACCACCCCAGGCUGCCCCAUCCCUUUCUGGCAACCAAGAGCAGCCUCCUGCCUCUAAGCCUCCACGUCGGCCUGUCCCUAGCUCAUUUCUCAGGUAACUGCUAGGAGAAGAAUCCUAAAAGGCACAUUGCUGAGAAAUGAAAUGGAAGAAAAUAAUGACGGAAAGAAAGAUGAAGGCAUGAAAGAAAAUAAGGACCCAGCAUGUUUGAUGUGACCCCCCACUUACGGGAAAUCAUAUAGGUGAGCACAUCUAUGUCUAAGAACAUUGAGAUGCAUGGAGAGAGACAGAGACAGACAGAGACAGAGAUUUAGGCUUAUGUCUUGUGUUGUGGAGGCCAUUGAUGUGUAGCCAGGCACUAAGUUCACCUGAGGAACAAGCCAAACAUGA